Molecule: ribosomal RNA, 301 nt
Filed under: uncultured bacterium
Lineage: Bacteria
Description: partial 16S ribosomal RNA
Rfam family: Bacterial small subunit ribosomal RNA
Source: RNAcentral
CAGCCGCCGCGGGAAAACGGAGGGGGCUAGCGUUGUUCGGAAUUACUGGGCGUAAAGCGCACGUAGGCGGCUUGGUAAGUUAGAGGUGAAAGCCUGGAGCUCAACUCCAGAAUUGCCUUUAAGACUGCCGAGCUAGUAGGUGAGAGAGGUAAGUGGAAUUCCGAGUGUAGAGGUGAAAUUCGUAGAUAUUCGGAAGAACACCAGUGGCGAAGGCGGCUUACUGGCUCAUUCUAGACGCUGAGGUGCGAAAGCGUGGGGAGCAAACAGGAUUAGAUACCCCUGUAGUCCUGUCUCUUAUACA